AAUAUCGUGAUAAAAAACAGAAACUUUAAAAUUAAUGAAGGAAAACUUAAUGUCAUUCUCUUUUAACGAAUAUCUCAGUUAAAAUCACAUCUCAUCUUAUCGAGAAAUUCAACGGAAGACCUACUCGUUGCUCGCAACGAGAUCUCAUCUAGUUAUGUCGCCCCGAACGAAGUCGGGGACGACAUAUUGAUAUUGUACGCAUGUUUUUUUUAUCCAGGCUGUUUCUCGGAGAUGGCUGGGACAAUCUUCCUGAAACUUUCCUCAAAGGACGAUCACUGGUUGUAGUUGUGCAGUGAGGUCAUUCAGUUCCAAUAUGUCUACCGUUGCCAUGGAAACCUGUAAAAAGCGACAAAUUUUGUCCGAGAGUGUUCUCUCUGGUCCCUUAAACGCUCGUCAUGAAACUUUUCUUAUUUUAAGGAUUAGUAUCUGUAGUUGUGUACUACGCAUUUAAAAUUUUCAAAUAAUUGAUUAUUACCAUGGAAACCAGGCUGUUUCUCGGAGAUGGCUGGGACAAUCUUCCUGAAACUUUCCUCAAAGGACGAUCACUGGUUGUAGUUGUGCAGUGAGGUCAUUCAGUUCCAAUAUGUCUACCGUUGCCAUGGAAACCUGUAAAAAGCGACAAAUUUUGUCCGAGAGUGUUCUCUCUGGUCCCUUAAACGCUCGUCAUGAAACUUUUCUUAUUUUAAGGAUUAGUAUCUGUAGUUGUGUACUACGCAUUUAAAAUUUUCAAAUAAUUGAUUAUUACCAUGGAAACCAGGCUGUUUCUCGGAGAUGGCUGGGACAAUCUUCCUGAAACUUUCCUCAAAGGACGAUCACUGGUUGUAGUUGUGCAGUGAGGUCAUUCAGUUCCAAUAUGUCUACCGUUGCCAUGGAAACCUGUAAAAAGCGACAAAUUUUGUCCGAGAGUGUUCUCUCUGGUCCCUUAAACGCUCGUCAUGAAACUUUUCUUAUUUUAAGGAUUAGUAUCUGUAGUUGUGUACUACGCAUUUAAAAUUUUCAAAUAAUUGAUUAUUACCAUGGAAACCAGGUGAGAGUUAAAAUUCUUUAAUUUCGAUUUUCUCAAUAACUACUCAGGCAAUCGUUUUGAAACUUUCAAUGUUUAUUCCUUGCAAUGUGUCAAAGUGAUUUCUACUUUCAAAAUAAUUGUAAUGAGUCGCUCACAGUUGCCAUAGAAACGAAACAGAAAAAAAGAUUCAGAUGUACACAUGUGUUCUCCAAGGUCCAGGUCAAAGGGUCAA
Long non-coding RNA from Saccostrea cuccullata (small rock oyster), 1238 nucleotides. RefSeq lists it as uncharacterized. NCBI's taxonomy places the organism in Eukaryota, Metazoa, Mollusca, Bivalvia, Ostreida, Ostreidae. The record is from RefSeq and is a predicted model, not a curated record. The transcript has 3 exons.